CAGUGGGUUUGUCUUCCGUUUCCCGGGACUGGAAAUUAACUCAGGUACUUCAGACUCAGGAGUGAGAAGUGGUGAUUUAAAAAGGGAGAAAUGUGAAACUCAAUUUUACCCUUGGUUGAGAAGGUACUAAUUUGCCUGACAAGUUGGAAACGGAAGGUACUCAAGGUAGAAGAAACGCAUCCUGCAGUCGUGAGGUACACCAGGCAGCUCUGCUCCAUGAAGUGCCAAGGAAAAGCCACUGUAGUCAGUAACGUCUUUGGAGGGAUCUGCCUGCAGCUCAUUUUCCAUAAGAAAAAAUUAUG
Long non-coding RNA from Fukomys damarensis (Damara mole-rat), 302 nucleotides. RefSeq lists it as uncharacterized. The record is from RefSeq and is a predicted model, not a curated record. Lineage: Eukaryota; Metazoa; Chordata; Mammalia; Rodentia; Bathyergidae. The transcript has 3 exons.